Long non-coding RNA from Manacus vitellinus (golden-collared manakin), 578 nucleotides. RefSeq lists it as uncharacterized. The transcript has 3 exons. The record is from RefSeq and is a predicted model, not a curated record. Lineage: Eukaryota; Metazoa; Chordata; Aves; Passeriformes; Pipridae.
CAAUUCAGCUAGAGUUAGAUUGGUUAUUUAACAUUCAGUUUUUCUCUUCCACUUAAAAUUUUUAACAAUGUAGGAGAUGCUGGGGGACUGGGACUGUGGUGAUGUUGAUUUGGAGUUCUGAGCAGGUAAUAUAUUUUGUAUGGCUGAAUGUUUGUAGUAUCAAAAACUUCCUUAAUGAUAUUUGUUUCCCUUCCACUAAUUCUGCUUCAGUUUCUGUUGCUGUAGUUUGGGAGAUCUAUCAAAAAAUACUCAUGUGAGUUACACAGUGUUUGCAAAGGACCACAUCAAGUUUUCACAGAGAAGCAAUGUACUUUCCUCAUAACCAGUCAGCAGUAGAGCACCUGCUCUUCUUGGAAGGAACUUCAGCACAUGGCUGUUGCAAAUAGUAUUUUGUCAGGCUGGGCACAAGUCUACAGAUUCUGAUUUGGCAAUACUCACCGAGGUCUCCACCUGGAGAAGCCAGGCAUAGGAAACAGCAGGUCUGAAAUCCCUCCUGAUGUUGCUCAGGGCGCUGACCCUAAAGUGUGUCCUAUGGAGGGCAGGAGGCUCAGGCAACUCCACCCUGCCACUGCCACCAG